RNAcentral lists this ribosomal RNA (253 nucleotides) under uncultured bacterium. Its description in RNAcentral is "partial 16S ribosomal RNA". It matches the Rfam family "Bacterial small subunit ribosomal RNA", at positions 524 to 776 of the family's 1533-position model. The record is from RNAcentral.
UACGUAGGUGGCAAGCGUUGUCCGGAUUUAUUGGGUUUAAAGGGUGCGUAGGCGGCCUUGUAAGUCAGUGGUGAAAUACUCUAGCUUAACUAGAGGGGUGCCAAUGAUACUGCAGGGCUUGAGUACAGAUGAGGUAGGCGGAAUUGACGGUGUAGCGGUGAAAUGCAUAGAUAUCGUCAAGAACACCUAUAGCGAAGGCAGCUUACUGGGCUGUAACUGACGCUGAGGAGCGAAAGUGUGGGGAGCGAACAGG